RNAcentral lists this ribosomal RNA (497 nucleotides) under uncultured bacterium. Its description in RNAcentral is "bacterial SSU rRNA". It matches the Rfam family "Bacterial small subunit ribosomal RNA", at positions 899 to 1397 of the family's 1533-position model. The record is from RNAcentral.
ACUCAAAUGAAUUGACGGGGGCCCGCACAAGCGGAGGAGCAUGUGGCUUAAUUCGAUGCAACGCGAAGAACCUUACCCGGGUUUGACAUGCAGCUGCACGUCCCGUGAAAGCGGGAUUCCUUCGAGGGUGCUGCACAGGUGCUGCAUGGCUGUCGUCAGUUCGUGCCGUGAGGUGUUUGGUUAAGUCCAGCAACGAACGCAACCCCUGCGCCUAAUUGCCAGCGAGUAAUGUCGGGAACUUUAGGCGGACCGCCCGUGCAAGCGGGAGGAAGGUGGGGAUGACGUCAAGUCAGCAUGGCCCUUACGCCCGGGGCUGCACACGUGCUACAAUGGCCGGCACAAUGGGACGCCAAACCGCAAGGUGACGCAAACCCCCAGAACCGGCCCCAGUUCGGAUAGGAGUCUGCAACUCGACUCCUUGAAGCCGGAUUCGCUAGUAACGGCGUAUCAGCUACGACGCCGUGAAUACGUUCCCGGGCCUUGUACACACCGCCCGU